AUCAAGGAAUUUUGAAGAGAGAGUUCAAGAGGACGUGAAACCGGUAGGGUGGAAGCAGAUAAAGUUGACGAACGUGUGUCGCAUUCAGAACUACAAUUUGUGGUUUGUUUUUACGAUCGAUGUGGGCUGGCGUCUUUGGUUAACUUAGUGUCUGGCGGCAAUGGUGACCCUGCGGAGGGAUGCUCGGUUGUCGUGCGAUGCUUGGUAUGGCUAGAGGUUCGCUGGUUUUAUAGUCAUCGCUUUAUCUGACCCGUCUUGAAACACGGACCAAGGAGUGAACCGCUUACGCGAGUCUUACAGUGUGUCAAAACUUUGAGGCGUAACGAAGGUAAAUGUGGAUUUAUUCACUGACUUGGGAUACGUUGUCUUUUUUGGAUAACGUUGGACCAUGGUUUUAUCGUAAUCGCUUGCGAUGCGGUGAAAAUACAGCGUAAGCGGUGCGACCCGAAAGAUGGUGAACUAUGCCUGAGCAGGAAAAGAUGGUGAACUAUGCCUGAGCAGGA
Molecule: ribosomal RNA, 503 nt
Filed under: Steinernema carpocapsae
Lineage: Eukaryota; Metazoa; Nematoda; Chromadorea; Rhabditida; Steinernematidae
Description: LSU rRNA
Rfam family: Eukaryotic large subunit ribosomal RNA
Source: RNAcentral